This is a non-coding RNA of Trichonephila clavipes, 108 nucleotides long. The record is from the annotation of a GenBank genome assembly. NCBI's taxonomy places the organism in Eukaryota, Metazoa, Arthropoda, Arachnida, Araneae, Nephilidae.
CAGUCAUACCAUGCUGAAAACACCGGUUCAUGUCCGAUCACCAAAGUUAAGCUUGAUCGGACGCGGGCAGUCAUUUAACGAGUAUUCACCUGGGAACAUCACGUGCCG